This 589-nucleotide ribosomal RNA is filed under the name Streptomyces sp. RNAcentral describes it as "bacterial SSU rRNA". It matches the Rfam family "Bacterial small subunit ribosomal RNA", at positions 937 to 1533 of the family's 1533-position model. Lineage: Bacteria; Bacillati; Actinomycetota; Actinomycetes; Kitasatosporales; Streptomycetaceae. The record is from RNAcentral.
GCAUGUGGCUUAAUUCGACGCAACGCGAAGAACCUUACCAAGGCUUGACAUACACCGGAAAGCAUUAGAGAUAGUGCCCCCCUUGUGGUCGGUGUACAGGUGGUGCAUGGCUGUCGUCAGCUCGUGUCGUGAGAUGUUGGGUUAAGUCCCGCAACGAGCGCAACCCUUGUCCCGUGUUGCCAGCAGGCCCUUGUGGUGCUGGGGACUCACGGGAGACCGCCGGGGUCAACUCGGAGGAAGGUGGGGACGACGUCAAGUCAUCAUGCCCCUUAUGUCUUGGGCUGCACACGUGCUACAAUGGCCGGUACAAUGAGCUGCGAUACCGUGAGGUGGAGCGAAUCUCAAAAAGCCGGUCUCAGUUCGGAUUGGGGUCUGCAACUCGACCCCAUGAAGUCGGAGUCGCUAGUAAUCGCAGAUCAGCUAUUGCUGCGGUGAAUACGUUCCCGGGCCUUGUACACACCGCCCGUCACGUCACGAAAGUCGGUAACACCCGAAGCCGGUGGCCCAACCCCUUGUGGGAGGGAGCUGUCGAAGGUGGGACUGGCGAUUGGGGGACUUGCUGGAGCACGAAGAUCAGAGCUGACACCGG